RNAcentral lists this ribosomal RNA (866 nucleotides) under Bacillus sonorensis. RNAcentral describes it as "bacterial SSU rRNA". It matches the Rfam family "Bacterial small subunit ribosomal RNA", at positions 20 to 865 of the family's 1533-position model. The record is from RNAcentral. Lineage: Bacteria; Bacillati; Bacillota; Bacilli; Caryophanales; Bacillaceae.
CUGCUCAGGACGAACGCUGUCGGCGUUGCCUUAUACAUGCAAGUCGAGCGGACAGAUGGGAGCUUGCUCCCUGAUGUUAGCGGCGGACGGGUGAGUAACACGUGGGUAACCUGCCUGUAAGACUGGGAUAACUCCGGGAAACCGGGGCUAAUACCGGAUGCUUGAUUGAACCGCAUGGUUCAAUUAUAAAAGGUGGCUUUUAGCUACCACUUACAGAUGGACCCGCGGCGCAUUAGCUAGUUGGUGAGGUAACGGCUCACCAAGGCAACGAUGCGUAGCCGACCUGAGAGGGUGAUCGGCCACACUGGGACUGAGACACGGCCCAGACUCCUACGGGAGGCAGCAGUAGGGAAUCUUCCGCAAUGGACGAAAGUCUGACGGAGCAACGCCGCGUGAGUGAUGAAGGUUUUCGGAUCGUAAAACUCUGUUGUUAGGGAAGAACAAGUACCGUUCGAAUAGGGCGGUACCUUGACGGUACCUAACCAGAAAGCCACGGCUAACUACGUGCCAGCAGCCGCGGUAAUACGUAGGUGGCAAGCGUUGUCCGGAAUUAUUGGGCGUAAAGCGCGCGCAGGCGGUUUCUUAAGUCUGAUGUGAAAGCCCCCGGCUCAACCGGGGAGGGUCAUUGGAAACUGGGGAACUUGAGUGCAGAAGAGGAGAGUGGAAUUCCACGUGUAGCGGUGAAAUGCGUAGAGAUGUGGAGGAACACCAGUGGCGAAGGCGACUCUCUGGUCUGUAACUGACGCUGAGGCGCGAAAGCGUGGGGAGCGAACAGGAUUAGAUACCCUGGUAGUCCACGCCGUAAACGAUGAGUGCUAAGUGUUAGAGGGUUUCCGCCCUUUAGUGCUGCAGCAAACGCAUUAAGC